ACGAACGCUGGCGGCGUGCUUAACACAUGCCAGUCGAACGGAAAGGCCCUGCUUUUGUGGGGUGCUCGAGUGGCGAACGGGUGAGUAACACGUGAGUAACCUGCCCUUGACUUUGGGAUAACUUCAGGAAACUGGGGCUAAUACCGGAUAGGAGCUCCUGCUGCAUGGUGGGGGUUGGAAAGUUUCGGCGGUUGGGGAUGGACUCGCGGCUUAUCAGCUUGUUGGUGGGGUAGUGGCUUACCAAGGCUUUGACGGGUAGCCGGCCUGAGAGGGUGACCGGCCACAUUGGGACUGAGAUACGGCCCAGACUCCUACGGGAGGCAGCAGUGGGGAAUAUUGCACAAUGGGCGGAAGCCUGAUGCAGCAACGCCGCGUGCGGGAUGACGGCCUUCGGGUUGUAAACCGCUUUCGCCUGUGACGAAGCGUGAGUGACGGUAAUGGGUAAAGAAGCACCAGCUAACUACGUG
Molecule: ribosomal RNA, 467 nt
Filed under: uncultured bacterium
Lineage: Bacteria
Description: partial 16S ribosomal RNA
Rfam family: Bacterial small subunit ribosomal RNA
Source: RNAcentral